AGAUUACCUUACAAUCAAAUCAGUGAAGGCCUGGCAGUAGUUACUGAAAUAAUUACUAUAUUAUUGAGUUAUAGGUGUAAAUGGGCAACAAUGUAAUCUCUAACCUGGUGUAUUGGAAUUAACUGGUCGAGUGAAUGACACAUUAUAAGUUGUUUCAUCAACCAGUGGUGAAGGAUACAUCCGUCUUCGGAUAAAGAAACCAGCUCCACAGCAAAAUAGAACUCCCAUCAUCAAAAGGAACC
Non-coding RNA from Notechis scutatus (mainland tiger snake), 242 nucleotides. NCBI's taxonomy places the organism in Eukaryota, Metazoa, Chordata, Lepidosauria, Squamata, Elapidae. The record is from RefSeq and is a predicted model, not a curated record.